GUGCCAGCCGCCGCGGUAAGACGAACCGUGCGAACGUUGUUCGGAAUCACUGGGCUUAAAGGGUGCGUAGGCGGGCUGUCAAGUCCGGGGUGAAAGCCCCCCGCUCAACGGGGGAAUGGCCUUGGAUACUGGCAGUCUGGAGGAAGGUAGGGGCAGAUGGAACUCUCGGUGGAGCGGUGAAAUGCGUAGAUAUCGGGAGGAACGCCGGUGGCGAAAGCGAUCUGCUGGACCUUUUCUGACGCUGAUGCACGAAAGCCAGGGGAGCAAACGGGAUUAGAAACCCCGGUAGUCC
This 292-nucleotide ribosomal RNA is filed under the name uncultured bacterium. RNAcentral's name for it is "partial 16S ribosomal RNA". It matches the Rfam family "Bacterial small subunit ribosomal RNA", at positions 505 to 796 of the family's 1533-position model. The record is from RNAcentral.